CCUCUAGAGAGCAGGGAGUGGCCCUCAAAGGAGCGGGUCUGGGGACUCCUCGAGCCUCAUCUCUGUCCCUAGGACGCUCCUGCCGCCUGCCUGGCCACCCCUCUCUAUCACUACCCCUGGCAUCUAUUCUUUCCCAUCCUUCUCUUUGAGGCACCUCCCAGGGCCUCAUUGGCACCGCGGUGCCUGGUGCACUACCCUGGACCAGAUCCACAAACGUCAGAUGAUGAGAGGAGGAGAAACGACUUGCAAUCGCCAAGUCCAUUUUACAGGGUUGAGACUCUCAGCCAGGGUCUUCAAUACCUUCUCACUGAACUCCCCCUCCCUGUGACCCUACAAAAGACCCCAUAGCAGCUGGUCUGGUCUCUAGUGCCAGAGUGAUCUCUCUCAGGAGGCUGUAUAGAGGUGUUAAGGGGGACUCUCAACUUUUUGGUCAAAGCCGCAGGACAGAUGGUGAUGUUCUCCACCCACACAGGGAACCAUGGAGGAGGACCAGAG
Molecule: long non-coding RNA, 495 nt
Organism: Heterocephalus glaber (naked mole-rat)
Lineage: Eukaryota; Metazoa; Chordata; Mammalia; Rodentia; Bathyergidae
Source: Ensembl